UGGGGAAUAUUGGACAAUGGGCGCAAGCCUGAUCCAGCCAUGCCGCGUGAGUGAUGAAGGCCUUAGGGUUGUAAAGCUCUUCACCGGUGAAGAUAAUGACGGUAACCGGAGAAGAAGCCCCGGCUAACUUCGUGCCAGCAGCCGCGGUAAUACGAAGGGGGCUAGCGUUGUUCGGAUUUACUGGGCGUAAAGCGCACGUAGGCGGAUCGAUCAGUCAGGGGUGAAAUCCCAGGGCUCAACCCUGGAACUGCCUUUGAUACUGUCGAUCUGGAGUAUGGAAGAGGUGAGUGGAAUUCCGAGUGUAGAGGUGAAAUUCGUAGAUAUUCGGAGGAACACCAGUGGCGAAGGCGGCUCACUGGUCCAUUACUGACGCUGAGGUGCGAAAGCGUGGGGAGCAAACAGGAUUAGAUACCC
RNAcentral lists this ribosomal RNA (414 nucleotides) under uncultured bacterium. RNAcentral describes it as "bacterial SSU rRNA". It matches the Rfam family "Bacterial small subunit ribosomal RNA", at positions 355 to 787 of the family's 1533-position model. The record is from RNAcentral.